UGUAAGCGUAUACCAAAGUUGUUGCAGUUAAAACGCUCGUAGUCGGAAUUUGGCAGUUCCGGAUGUGUGCACGUCGUGUGCGCACUUCGCGGGGAUUGCUUUUGUGGUCUUGCGUAGGAUGAGGCACUUUUAUUAGUGAACGUCCUCACGCAACCACUUUUUACUGUGAGAAAAUCAGAGUGCUCAAAGCAGGCAUUUGCCGUGAAUGUAUUAGCAUGGAAUAAUAGAAUAGGACUUGGUUCUAUUUUGUUGGUUUGUUGGGACUGAGUAAUGAUUAAGAGGGACAGUUGGGGGCAUUUGUAUUUCGGUGCUAGAGGUGAAAUUCUUAGAUUACUGAAAGACAAACUGCUGCGAAAGCGUCUGCCAAGGAUGUUUUCAUUGA
Molecule: ribosomal RNA, 382 nt
Filed under: uncultured eukaryote
Lineage: Eukaryota
Description: partial 18S ribosomal RNA
Rfam family: Eukaryotic small subunit ribosomal RNA
Source: RNAcentral